RNAcentral lists this ribosomal RNA (425 nucleotides) under uncultured bacterium. Its description in RNAcentral is "partial 16S ribosomal RNA". It matches the Rfam family "Bacterial small subunit ribosomal RNA", at positions 354 to 796 of the family's 1533-position model. The record is from RNAcentral.
GUUAGGAAUAUUGGACAAUGGGCGCAAGCCUGAUCCAGCCAUGCCGCGUGAACGAUGAAGGCCUUCGGGUUGUAAAGUUCUUUAGCCGAUGAUUAUAAUGACUGUAGUCGGAAAAUAAGCCCCGGCUAACUUCGUGCCAGCAGCCGCGGUAAUACGAAGGGAGCGAGCGUUAUUCGGAAUCACUGGGCGUAAAGCGUGCGUAGGCGGUCUCGUAAGUUAGGAGUGAAAGCCCAGGGCUCAACCUUGGAAUUGCUCUUAAUACUGCAAGGCUAGAAUCUCGGAGAGGAUAGCGGAAUUUCCAGUGUAGCAGUGAAAUGCGUAGAUAUUGGAAGGAACACCAGUGGCGUAAGCGGCUAUCUGGACGAGUAUUGACGCUGAGGCACGAAAGCGUGGGGAUCAAACAGGAUUAGAAACCCGAGUAGUCC